GAUGAAGAACGUAGCGAAAUGCGAUAAGUAAUGUGAAUUGCAGAAUUCAGUGAAUCAUCGAAUCUUUGAACGCACCUUGCACCCUUUGGCAUUCCGAAGGGUAUGCUCGUUUGAGUGUCAUUGUACUCUCACACUUCCGAUCUUUGGAUUGGGAGCGGUGGACUUGGGUGUUGCUGCUUACUGUGGCUCACCUCAAAUCGAUUCGUGCACCUCUUGGUUGGACAUAGUACGGCGUGAUAAGUGUCUUCGCCGGCACCUCAGUAGAGGGUGGCUGAUCGGGAGCUCUGCUUCAAACCGUACUCGGACAACAACUGACAACUUGACCUCAAAUCGAGUAGGACUACCCGCUGAACUUAAGCAUAUCAAUAAGCGGAGGA
This 377-nucleotide unclassified non-coding RNA is filed under the name soil metagenome. RNAcentral describes it as "partial contains 5.8S ribosomal RNA, internal transcribed spacer 2, and large subunit ribosomal RNA". The stretch from base 1 to 120 matches the Rfam family "5.8S ribosomal RNA", at positions 35 to 154 of the family's 154-position model. The record is from RNAcentral.